UCCUCUCUUCUCCAUGCCCAGGGAGUCUCUCUCUUCUUGAUUAUUGCUAAAAUCAUAUUUCAGCAAAAAGAGAUCUUAAAGAAGCCUAAGUUCUGCUACUAUUCUCAAGAUAUUGAGAAGAUUCUUCUAUCAAGCAAAGAUUCUGCAAGGGAGCUAGCAUCCUGGAAAACCAAGAAGCUUGUUGAUCAGCUCUCAUCUUCGUAUGGAUACCUAUAG
RNAcentral lists this long non-coding RNA (216 nucleotides) under Elaeis guineensis (African oil palm). RNAcentral describes it as "long non-coding RNA (EGUI_LNC033051)". The record is from RNAcentral. Lineage: Eukaryota; Viridiplantae; Streptophyta; Magnoliopsida; Arecales; Arecaceae.